Molecule: ribosomal RNA, 328 nt
Filed under: uncultured eukaryote
Lineage: Eukaryota
Description: partial 18S ribosomal RNA
Rfam family: Eukaryotic small subunit ribosomal RNA
Source: RNAcentral
CCCUUAGAUGUUCUGGGCCGCACGCGCGCUACAAUGAUGAAUUCAACGAGUUUAUAACCUUGGUUGAAAAGCCUGGGUAAUCUUUUGAACUUUCGUCGUGAUGGGGCUAGACCCUUGCAAUUAUUGGUCUCCAACGAGGAAUUCCUAGUAAACGCAAGUCAUCAGCUUGCAUUGAUUACGUCCCUGCCCUUUGUACACACCGCCCGUCGCACCUACCGAUUGAAUGGUCCGGUGAAAUCUUCGGAUUGAGACUUUGUUUUCUUCACGGAAAACGCUGUUUAAAAAGUUGAUUAAACCUUACCAUUUAGAGGAAGGUGAAGUCGUAACA